Molecule: ribosomal RNA, 1174 nt
Filed under: Sticta sp.
Lineage: Eukaryota; Fungi; Ascomycota; Lecanoromycetes; Peltigerales; Lobariaceae
Description: eukaryotic LSU rRNA
Rfam family: Eukaryotic large subunit ribosomal RNA
Source: RNAcentral
UCAAAUUUGAAAUCUGGCCUCUUCGGGGUCCGAGUUGUAAUUUGUAGAGGGUGUUUCGGGCGCGAUGCCGGUCUAAGUUCCUUGGAACAGGACGUCGUAGAGGGUGAGAAUCCCGUAUGCGACCGGCGAUCAAGCCCAUGUGAAGCCCCUUCGACGAGUCGAGUUGUUUGGGAAUGCAGCUCAAAAUGGGUGGUAAAUUUCAUCUAAAGCUAAAUAUUGGCCAGAGACCGAUAGCGGACAAGUAGAGUGAUCGAAAGAUGAAAAGCACUUUGGAAAGAGAGUCAAACAGUACGUGAAAUUGUUGAAAGGGAAGCGCUUGCAAUCAGACCGGUCCGGAGGCGAUCAGCCGCUGCUCGUCAGCGGUGCACUCGCCUGCGAUCCGGCCAGCAUCGGUUUGGGCGGCGGGAUAAAAGACCCGGGAAUGUAGCUUCUCUCGGGGAGUCUUAUAGCCCGGGUCGCAAUGCCGCCCGCCCGGACCGAGGACCGCGCUUCGGCUAGGAUGCUGGCGUAAUGGUUGCAAGCGACCCGUCUUGAAACACGGACCAAGGAGUCUAACAUCUAUGCGAGUGUUUGGGUGUCAAACCCAGGCGCGGAAUGAAAGUGAACGGAGGUGGGAACCCGUCAGACGGCGCACCAUCGACCGAUCCAGAUGUCUUCGGAUGGAUUUGAGUAUGAGCAUAGCUGUUGGGACCCGAAAGAUGGUGAACUAUGCCCGGAUAGGGUGAAGCCAGAGGAAACUCUGGUGGAGGCUCGCAGCGGUUCUGACGUGCAAAUCGAUCGUCAAAUCUAGGCAUAGGGGCGAAAGACCAAUCGAACCAUCUAGUAGCUGGUUCCUGUCGAAGUUUCCCUCAGGAUAGCAGUAACGUUUUCAGUUUUAUGAGGUAAAGCGAAUGAUUAGAGGCCUUGGGGCUGAAACAGCCUUAACCUAUUCUCAAACUUUAAAUAUGUAAGAAGUCCUUGUUACUCAGUUGAACGUGGACAUUUGAAUGCACCGUUACUAGUGGGCCAUUUUUGGUAAGCAGAACUGGCGAUGCGGGAUGAACCGAACGCGAGGUUAAGGUGCCGGAAUGCACGCUCAUCAGACACCACAAAAAGUGUCAAUUCAUCCAGACAGCCGGACGGUGGCCAUGGAAGUCGGAAUCCGCUAAGGAGUGUGUAACAACUCACCGGCCGA